AAUAAUAAUAAUAAUAAUAAUAGAGUGCAUCGUAUUUCUCUUGAAAACUAGUUACAACAUUAAAAUGGAGGAUGGGCCCACAAUGACAAAUUGCGGUGAGAAACUAAAACGAAAAUCCACUUUUGCUUGUUUAUAUUUUACCAUUUUCAAGUUUAAAAGCGAUAAAAAGAAUAGCAAAAAAUUACAUGAAAUUUCAACAUUCAACCGAAUGAGUUUCCUUUUUAAUAAAAAAAAGGUUAAAAAAAAAAAGGGCAAAAAGGGUGCACUUCACGGUUGAUUUGGAACAUAUUAGCGAUAAUUUUAUUGAAAAAUGGGAGAAGGUUCAA
RNAcentral lists this unclassified non-coding RNA (326 nucleotides) under Hevea brasiliensis (rubber tree). The record is from RNAcentral. Lineage: Eukaryota; Viridiplantae; Streptophyta; Magnoliopsida; Malpighiales; Euphorbiaceae.